CCAUGAGGAACACUUCCUUUACAUCCUCUGUAAGCAUACCUAAGUACCUUUCUCAACUACUUGAUCCUUAUCUCCCACGAGGAACAUUUCCUUUACAUCCUCUGUAAGCAUACUUAAGUACCUUUCAGGAGGAUGGAAGAUCCUACUAGAUCUACGAGGUGGAAGAGAAAUAACUACAUCUACUGGUUCAAUGGGUUUAACCUGAUCUAAAGCUGGCCGC
This 220-nucleotide long non-coding RNA is filed under the name Elaeis guineensis (African oil palm). Its description in RNAcentral is "long non-coding RNA (EGUI_LNC007157)". The record is from RNAcentral. Lineage: Eukaryota; Viridiplantae; Streptophyta; Magnoliopsida; Arecales; Arecaceae.